This is a non-coding RNA of Podarcis lilfordi (Lilford's wall lizard), 74 nucleotides long. The record is from the annotation of a GenBank genome assembly. Lineage: Eukaryota; Metazoa; Chordata; Lepidosauria; Squamata; Lacertidae.
CUCUGGGGCAGUUCAGUUGAUAGAGCAUGAGAUUCUGAAUCUUAGGGCUGUGGGUUCAAGCUCAACUUUGGGGG